AGAUGAACCACUCAGUCCAUAGACCUUGGUGCAAACUGGUUUCUGCAAGAGACACAAGAGAAGAUUAAAACCUAUAGAGGAGACUGUGACAAGGAAAUGAAUCCUGUGUAUGCUCCAUAUAGAUGCCAUUGUUUUCCUCAACCAUCUUAGUCUGUGGUUGACUGAAUGGACAGCACAAGCUGACAGCAUGUAUUCAGGUAAUAGAGACCCUCACCCUAAGUCACACUAACCCCCUCUUGGGAAAGACAGGUUACCUCUCUCAUUUUAGGAUGAUGAAUUUAGAAGAGUCUGCAAUCUCACAGAAAUGUUAGCCCACAUAGGCAGAUACCAGUGCUUAUAAUAAACUGGCCCCAGGAUGACAGUAAUGGGGCACAGAAGCCCAGCAUUUUGCCAUCUCUUCUUAGCAAGGGCCAACAGUGAGGGCUGCUGUUCAUCAGUACAGUCUUCUGCAGGACCCACUUGGGCACAUCAAGGACAUCUCUAGGUGACACAGUUUUGGAAAUAUCACCAGCCUCUCAGAUUCCCAAGUCUCCACAAUUCUGUCCAUCAGAUGAGAAUGACUGCUUCCUUUUGGGUUACUUUAAAGAUUUACUACCCCAAUGCCUGCUAGCCUGUGGCAUGUAAAGUUGCAAGUCCCAUGCCUGGGAAGGAACACUCUUGGAUGUGUCAUAAGAAUAAGUGAAGGACAGAGAACAUAUGUAGCUGGUCUUACCAGCCUGUCCACAUGCUGUGCUGUCCCUUGCAGUUCCUUCCAGGCUCUGUCAUUGCCUGGCUGCAGGAGGAGGCAGCUCAAUCCAAUUGCCUUUAGAUACACUCUUCCUGGUUUGUAAAAUGGAGCUAUCCAUGCCUCUGCUUCCAGGCUAAGAUUCCUAAGGGCUGGAUGAAUUUAUUACUAGGCAAGGUUCACUGAACAGUAACCCUUGGUUUGACAGCCUGAGAAUAAAUCUCAGGCCCAUAACUCCAAGCAUACCAUAACAAGCAAGAGUGUAUGGGGCUGUGUGACUUCUGAAUGUGUAGGCGCAUGUACAUUUGCACAUAUGCUAUGAAGCCAAACAACAACAAUCCGAAUUGCGGUUCAUCAGCACUGUCUAACUUGUGUUUUAAAUAAUCUUCUUAAUGCUUUUGAGAAUGGCAUAUGGUAUAUUUUGAUAAUAUUCACUCAUUCUUUCCCCAAUUCUUCUCAGGCCCACUCUCUUUACACUCACCUCCCUACCCACCCAAUUCUGAGUCUUCCUCCUCCUUUUUAAACUCAUUGAGUCCAGAUGUUUUUUCCAAUUAAUCUUGGGAGUGGAGCUUGUUCUGUGCUAUGGUCAACUGACUGAGGCAGGGGGGUCACAAAGAACUCCCCCCCUUCUCUCAGAACCUAGUGGUGUUACUUGCAUGCCCACCUCCCCUCUUCAAUGCUGGGACUUUUGUCUGACUUCAUUUUGUACAGGUCUUGUGUCUGCUGUCAAAAUCCCUAAGUUCAUUUGUGCAACUUCUCUGUCCAGAAAACUGUGUUUCCUGGAAGUUACGCACCACCUCCAGCUCUGACAAUAUUCCAUCCCCUUACCCAUGAAGAAUGUCAAGCAUGUAUGUCCCAUUUAGGAUGGAGCAUUUCACAGUUUCUUGUCUGCCCUUCAUGAGUUUAGGUGUCUUUGUCAACUGUCAUCUACUUCAAGGGGAAGUUUCUCUCAAGAGGAUUGACAAGUCAGGAGUCACUUUAAUACUGUGUCUACUUAGCAUAAUAAUAGUAUUAGUUUCUACCCUAGGGCCUCUUACCUAUCUAUCCACAGGUUCUUGUACUCACUAGCCAUGAACCUGAACACAAGAAAACAUCUCUCUGUAGUCUUGUAACUUGAUCAGCAGUGAAGAACUCACCAUCGGUUCCUAAGCUCAGGCCUAGAGUUGGUCUACAGCCUACUGUCUCUGACAGCCCUGGUUCUGAGGAUUGAUCUCAUUCCUGGCCCUCAAGAGAGAGUCAUGUUUGAGAUAUGUGAGCAUUUGUGUAUGCUUUGGUGAAGAUUUAUAUAACACAACGGAUAGGAGAUGAGGUGCAUUUCUGGAAGGAUUUUCCGAGAAGGAGAGUGAUGACCUUUUCCAGAACAAUUUGACAAAGGCUGAAGCAGAAAUUCCUGAAAAGAAAGGAAGAGAAGAAAAAGGUUAUGUUGCCAGCUAUACACACACAUAUAUGAAACUUCACAGUGAAGUUUGAUGAAGAACAUAGAAAAGGGCUUUCAUUUUCAGAAAAGGAUCAUACUGUCUGCCUAAGCAAGUAUCUGCCCAAUCAUAUCUAUUAAAUACUUGUCAUCACUAUAUUUCUAAUUGAGACAUGCUUUGAUGAAAAUUCUCUAGGAGACAAGUGCUUAUAUGCAUGCCUUCAUGGAAAAUGGAAAACAAUGUAGGGAUUGGCAUGUCAGAUUGUGUUGUACAUGAGACCAAAGCAAAGCUAUUCACCUCUCGCCAGCUAAGUAGCAAUAAUACCGAGGUCUGUCAUUCAUGGCACUGCCAAGGUUCCAGGUGUUGGCAUAGUCAAAUUCCAAUGUGUGGCAUGUAAUGGAGAACAGCUAUGUUCCCUUCAGUACUGAACAGCCACAUUGAACCAUCUACACGAUGUUCUAACACCAUUGUAGAGACACAUACGUCAUGGGCGAAAAGUCCUUUGUCCCAGGGCUGGUGGAGCACCACUGCUUAUUAUAGAGCAGUCAAGUUUGCUGUCUCCCCAAGCAGUAGUUUUUUCCAAAGAACUUACUCCUCAAUUGAUUUCACAGUUAUGCCUUGGCAUCUAAUCCCCUAAUCUAUGACAGCAUGCAAACUCUCAUAAAGACAUUCAAUACUGAGAUAAAAUGAAACUGGACCAUUUGUAUCCCAAGUUGAAUGUGCACUGUUUAGUGAGGUUAAAAAGGACAGAGGUCCUGGGAAUGAAGUGAUAGUCAGCAUGAAUUGUAGCCUAUAAUUGCCUGGGAAGGUGAGACGUGUUCUUUAAAGGAAACAUUAGAUAAUGCCUAUCACUCACAGGAGGUUAUCCUCAUGUGCACAAAAACAGAGCAGUGAGUGCUCAUUAUUGAUUAUUUAUGUCUUGCAAACACUGGAACAUAUGGUUACAUUUUCAACUUCAUUUUCUAAGAUUCUUCCUACUCAACAAUAUUCUUAAAAGUUGUCACAGUCAUAUCCGGGUGUGGGGAAAACAGAGUGUUACAAGUGCCUAAGGGGAAAGAGCCAUUCCUUUCUCCUGAUGGGUUUAGGAUGCAGGCAAGCAGAUGUUAUGCUGUGCUGAUCAUAGAUUUGUCAUUAAACAGACCAGCAUGUUGUAUCUUGAUAGGACCAUUGAUCAACAUUUUACAGACACAGUCUCUAUCUCUCUAUAUCUCCUUCCCUCGUUGUCAUUGAUUUCUUGGCAUCUCCCUUAGGCUUAACAUGUAAUGGCUUUCAGAAAAGAUAAUUAUUUUAUGUUAAAGCUUAAACAUAAGCCAGACAUGGUGCAUUUGAUCCCUAUUCCUAGACUUCAUUGAAGGCUAAGGCUCUAGAAAACAGACAAACUUGGAAAAGACUUUAAUUCUAUCUCUUGGAAGGCACGGGAAGACAGAUCUCUGUGAGUUCUAGGCCAGCCAAGGCACCAUAGUAAGACCUUCUCCCUCCCCCCCCACAGAGAUAGAGAUAGAGAUAUGACAUUGUUCUUUGAAUUGCUUUCUGCAAUUCCAAUUCCACUAAUAAGUGACUUUUACCGAGUACCUUCAGAAAGAAAGGAACUGAUUUCAGUUCACAGAUCCAGAGGGUUCAAUUCAUGAUGGCAGGGAAGCCAUGGUUGAGCAGCCAAGUUCACAUCACAAUGAUCCAAGAAGCAGAAGAGAAUGCUAGCCAUACUCCCUACCUACACAAUACAUUUAGCUAAAAGUAGCCAACUAUAACCAUACUGAAGCCUGUAUGCUGUACAGUCUUGAAAUUCCCUCUGCCAUGUUCAUUAGUAUGUUAUCUAGAGCCUUAGCCUUCUAUGAAGUCUGGGGACAGGGAUCAAAUGCAGACAAAUUCCUUGCCAGAAUAUGCCAUACAUUUCCUGUGCUUCAAACUGUGCAACUGCUAGCACUCUCUUCUAUACUGCCUGGUCCACCAAUAUGUAAACUGGAUACCUGGACAGUGUCUUCCCUGCAACAGUGGUCUGUAGGGGAAGCUGUAGCCACACCUACUUAGGGGCUGGUUACAGGUGUCUGACCACACCUGCACAUAGAACAGGGGUGUGGAAACAUUUGCACAUUCAUUGCCUCUUGUAUUUCUUCUAGGCAGCUUCUUUUGAGGAUUUAGUUGUCUUGUGCCUUCUGGGCUCAUGGUCUUCUCUGGUCUAAGGGGAAUAGAACAGGAUGUGAAGUUCACGCUUCUGCCUGGUACAGAUGGUGGCUGGGGGGGGGUGCACUGAGACUUUCAGAUCUUCUAAUGAGGAAAAUGUCUUCUUUGCUCAGCAACUCAUCCCAUUGUUUAGCCACACUGCCAGGAAAUCCUUCUACAGAUCUGACCCAAAUUUUCCAGCUGUGGCUGAAACCCACUUUGUCCUGGGUGGUCUCUCAGAGGGGACAGCUGUAGAAAGAACUGUUUGUGUCAAAUGACACAACAUCCCACCCAAACCAUGAGAGAAAGAAGCUUUAUAGCAAGCUGCUAGCCUCAUGGAUUUCACAGCUGGACAAGUGGCCAGACUUCUGUGUAGACAAAUCCCCAGGAGGAGCCAACUUGGUCUGGUUCUGAUUCAGUUCUCUUCUGCUAGGUGAGCUAAACAAAGGCCAUCUGAUGUCCAGAAAUAUCAUCUGCCCAUCAAUGGUAUGAAUGAUAUUCUUAUACAUGAGAACUCAUGCUUCUUUGUGUGUUUAAAUUAGAAAGCUCUAACUCACAAGUCCAGCUUAGAUAAAUAAAUAAAAUGUCCAACCCAAUCUCACAGAGUCAACUUCUAAAAGAGUUCUGUAUAUCCCAUUUAACCAAGCUACCUCAUUACUUUUAUAAUUUCCCUUUUUGCCUGGACCAGCUUUGCAGCCCAUUCUGAUAAGCUCAACAGAAUAAAAGGGAAUUGCUUGUCAAAUGGAGAGAGUUUCCAAAGUCAGAUGUGUCUCCAACCAUCUGGUAUACCCUGGAGAAAUCCCCAGGCUUCAGGGCUACUGACUGACUCACCUUCAUUUUGGAGUCUCUUCACAGCUCUGUAAUGUUCUCAUAGAUUUGGUUCCAGUCAUUUCCUCAUCCCUGUCACUCCAUCAAGUGCCAGGGCAGCAAUGGACACGUCAGAGAAGUAGAAACAGCCUAGGCUGUGGGUAUAGGUGGUUGUUACCUGUAGCUAAAGCUAAGCCGUUUGUGAUAUGUGCUUCAGUGUUUACUUCUCAAAUAAGCUUGCUUCCUAGGUUCCCCCUACAGGCAUCCAGGCACAGAGAAGAUACUCGGUAUCAGAAGUUGUCACUGACUGCUCUUUAAAUGGUGAACACAGAGUUUCUUUCUUGUUCAUUUUAUAACAGUACAAGGCUUGCUCCUAAGGCUCUGAUGCCCAGCAAAUAUCAAACCAAAAGAAGACCAUAACCUGGAGAAUCUCAAAGCCUAGGGGUGGUUUCCUAUGAGCCAUGAUUCCACUUUCAUUUGAAAUCAUGGGAUUCUGGAACCAUGGCUGUGUUUGGAUUGUCUGGAAGAACAGAUAAAAUGUACACACAAAGAGACACAGACACACACACAGACACAGACACACACAGACACACAGACACAGACACAGACACACACACAGACACACAGACACACACACACACACACACACACACACACACACACACACACACACACACAUUUCUGGAAUGGUUUCUAACCAGUAGGCUCAACAAUGGCUUUCUGAAUGUCUGAAUGCUGAAGAGGCUGAGACCAGUAGCUGCCCAGGCCUUGAAGCUCUUGGCUCAACAGUCUCAUCUGGUGCUGAAGUCCAACAAGAAUCUUAGAAUCUUCUGGGCCUUCAGUACACAGAAACCAGAGAAGCUGGAUUCUGAUGGCUGCAGUGGAGGGAGACACACCAAGCAGUGAAGAAGGAGGCAAAGAAGCAAGCUUGACUUUCCCUCAGACCGCCUCACACCUAGGCUGCCUAUUCUGGGAGAGGGUCUUCUCCCCUCAGUUGACCUUGAGGUGCUCUUGUGGCACCACCUAAAGGCAGUUGUCUUAUGGCUGGAAUCCUUUCCUUGGUCUUCUCUAAUCUUCAGAAAAUCAUUGCUAUGAUCCUUGAUUGCUUUCUGUGGCUAUGAUAAACACCAUGACCAAAUGCAACGUGGGGAGGAAAGGGUGUAUAUCAGCUUACAGGUUACAUGCUGUCAUAGAGGAAAGCCAAGGUAGGAAUCCAAGGCAGAAAACUGGAAACUGAAUCAGACUCCAUGGAGCAAUGCUCCUUACUGGCUGUCUCCCUCUAGCAUGCUCUUUAUAUAUUCCAGGACCACCAAUCCAGGAAAGACAUUGGCCACAGUGAUCUGGACCCUCCUACAUCAGUUAGCAAUCAAGAAAAUGCCUUCAGGGACAUUCCCACAGACUAGUCUGUUGGAGGCAACUAACUUCUCAUUUGAGGUUCCUUCAUCCUAGGUGUGUCUAGGUUUGUAUGAAGUUGGUGAAAAGUAACUAUGACAACUAGGUCUGGGGAUUUAGAGACUGCAGUUGUACCACAUGCUUACUCCAGCUCUUCUGCAGUGUGUCCAGGAGACAUUGCAUUUCGCUUCUGGUGAUUUGCUUUACUUUUGCCUCUUGCAUCCUUACAGAAAGGUCAGUCAGGCACCAGACUCUCAGACCCCAACUUCAGUUGCUAGGUCUCUGUUACUGCACAUUCUAUACUCACCACAGAUUGGCUGAUCCCUAGCCAAAUGCUCCUCCAAAGUCUGUUAUAGAAAACUUGAGUUCCAAACUGGGAUAGUACAAAUUCUGCUGGCUUUGGGUCAGAGAGCAUUGACUCAUCUUUAGACAAGUCAGUUGAUCUAACUUGGUCUGUGUCGUCAGUUACAAAAUGAAGAUAUUAAUAUAUGCCCUGCCUAACUUGUUUGACUGACAUGUGAGAUGAAAUCUGAAAAUGUGUUUUGUAAACUAUGAAAUGUCAUCCAAAUGGAAUAGAUACAGCACCAAUUAAAAAACAACC
Molecule: long non-coding RNA, 7099 nt
Filed under: Cricetulus griseus (Chinese hamster)
Lineage: Eukaryota; Metazoa; Chordata; Mammalia; Rodentia; Cricetidae
Description: lncRNA (ENSCGRG00015034770.1)
Source: RNAcentral